This 399-nucleotide ribosomal RNA is filed under the name uncultured bacterium. Its description in RNAcentral is "bacterial SSU rRNA". It matches the Rfam family "Bacterial small subunit ribosomal RNA", at positions 30 to 426 of the family's 1533-position model. The record is from RNAcentral.
AUUGAACGCUGGCGGCAGGCCUAACACAUGCAAGUCGAAUGGUAACAGGAAACAGCUUGCUGUUUCGCUGACGAGUGGCGGACGGGUGAGUAAUGUCUGGGAAACUGCCUGAUGGAGGGGGAUAACUACUGGAAACGGUAGCUAAUACCGCAUAACGUCGCAAGACCAAAGAGGGGGGACCUUCGGGCCUCUUGCCAUCAGAUGUGCCAGAUGGGAUUAGCUAGUAGGUGGGGUAACGGCUCACCUAGGCGACGAUCCCUAGCUGGUCUGAGAGGAUGACCAGCCACACUGGAACUGAGACACGGUCCAGACUCCUACGGGAGGCAGCAGUGGGAAUAUUGCACAAUGGGCGCAAGCCUGAUGCAGCCAUGCCGCGUGUAUGAAGAAGGCCUCGGUUGU